GGAGCGGUGGCGCCCGGCGGCGCGGCCCCGGUUCGGACGCGGGCGAUUGGCUCCGGACUUGCGUUGGGACAGUCCCAUUCCGUCCCGCUACC
RNAcentral lists this transfer RNA (92 nucleotides) under Urbifossiella limnaea. RNAcentral's name for it is "Planctomycetes bacterium ETA_A1 tRNA-Arg". The record is from RNAcentral. Lineage: Bacteria; Pseudomonadati; Planctomycetota; Planctomycetia; Gemmatales; Gemmataceae.